GACGAACGCUGGCGGCGUGCUUAACACAUGCAAGUCGAACGGAAAGGCCCUGCGUUUGUGGGGUGCUCGAGUGGCGAACGGGUGAGUAACACGUGAGUAACCUGCCCUUGACUUUGGGAGAAAUUCAGGAAACUGGGGCUAAUAUCGGAUAGGAGCUCUUGCUGCGUGGUGGGGGAUGGAAAGUGUCGGCGGUGGGGGAUGGACUCGCGGCUUAUCAGCUUGUUGGUGGGGUAGUUGAGUACCAAGGCUUUGACGGGUAGCCGGCCUGAGAGGGGUACCGGCCACAUUGGGACUGCGAUACGGACCAGACUCCUACGGGAGGCAGCAGUGGGGAAUAUUGCACAAUGGGCGGAAGCCUGAUGCAGCAACGCCGCGUGCGGGAUGACGGCCUUCGGGUUGUAAACCGCUUUCGCCUGUGACGAAGCGUGAGUGACGGUAAUGGGUAAAGAAGCACCGGCUAACUACGUG
RNAcentral lists this ribosomal RNA (468 nucleotides) under uncultured bacterium. RNAcentral describes it as "partial 16S ribosomal RNA". It matches the Rfam family "Bacterial small subunit ribosomal RNA", at positions 28 to 507 of the family's 1533-position model. The record is from RNAcentral.